This is a long non-coding RNA of Strigops habroptila (Kakapo), 573 nucleotides long. RefSeq lists it as uncharacterized. The record is from RefSeq and is a predicted model, not a curated record. Lineage: Eukaryota; Metazoa; Chordata; Aves; Psittaciformes; Psittacidae. The transcript has 4 exons.
CAAUAGCAACAUCAAGUGGACAGAGAAAGGCUGCCAGCACUGUACCUGCCCAAGGCCAGAGGGAGCAAUUUAGAGUGCACAAGCCCUAGAAAGGACUUCAGUAUUUGAUCAUUGAGGUCAUCACAUUAUGUUAUGAACAGCGAUACUGUUCUUGUGAAAUGUAACCAACAGAAUCUUGAAACCAUAAUCUUGUGCUGCUUUUGAUGUGUUAAGACCACCUAACACUGGUACACUUGAACAGCUGAAAGCACUCAGCACCUCAAUCCUCUCACUUUCUCUCAGAAUUUGACCUCUGAGGUUUCCAGAGCUGAGAAAGCAUGAACUGUAAUUGAUGCUGUUCUGCCACGCCACAACACUGACUGCUGCGGUGUUUUAAGUGAGGAAGCAUAGAUGAACACUGCUUCUGUGAAUGUUCUGAACACCAGGGUAUUCAAUUACUCAAACUGGAUAUAUCUAGUAAAUUCAUGACAAAUUAUUCUGUGGCCUGCUUCCAAAAAGUGAAAACCACUCUUACUGUGGAAGACAAUUCAGCUGCAAGGCCAGCUUGCAUAAACAAAAGUAGUAUAAAGGAAA